Molecule: ribosomal RNA, 54 nt
Filed under: uncultured bacterium
Lineage: Bacteria
Description: partial 16S ribosomal RNA
Source: RNAcentral
AGUUGCCUAACCGCAAGGAGGGCGCCUACCACGGUGAGCUUCAUGACUGGGGUG